RNAcentral lists this ribosomal RNA (820 nucleotides) under uncultured Cryptomonadaceae. RNAcentral's name for it is "SSU rRNA". It matches the Rfam family "Eukaryotic small subunit ribosomal RNA", at positions 442 to 1276 of the family's 1831-position model. The record is from RNAcentral. Lineage: Eukaryota; Cryptophyceae; Cryptomonadales; Cryptomonadaceae.
UACCCAAUCCCGAUUCGGGGAGGUAGUGACAAUAAAUAACAAUACAGGGCCAACGGUCUUGUUAUUGGAAUGAGAACAAUUUAAAUAACUUAACGAGGAUCAAUUAGAGGGCAAGUCUGGUGCCAGCAGCCGCGGUAAUUCCAGCUCUAAUAGCGUAUAUUAAAGUUGUUGCAGUUAAAAAGCUCGUAGUCGGAUGUCGGGCUCGGGCAGGCUGUCGGCUUCGGUCGGACGGCAGGCUCGGGUCUUUCUGCCUGAGGAUCCCGUUGCACUUGAUUGUGGGGCGUGGGGACGCAGGCCGUUUACUUUGAAAAAAUUAGAGUGUUCAAAGCAGGCCUACGCUUGAAUACAUUAGCAUGGAAUAAUGGAAUAGGACUUUGGUGCUAUUUUGUUGGUUUAUGGGACCGAAGUAAUGAUUAACAGGGACAGUUGGGGCCGUUUAUAUUUCGUUGUCAGAGGUGAAAUUCUUGGAUUUACGAAAGAUAAACUUCUGCGAAAGCAUUCGGCAAGGAUGUUUUCAUUGAUCAAGAACGAAAGUUAGGGGAUCGAAGACGAUCAGAUACCGUCGUAGUCUUAACCAUAAACUAUGCCGACUAGGGAUCAGUGGAUGUCAAUUUGCGACUCCAUUGGCACCUUGUGAGAAAUCAAAGUUUUUGGGUUCCGGGGGGAGUAUGGUCGCAAAGCUGAAACUUAAAGGAAUUGACGGAAGGGCACCACCAGGAGUGGAGCCUGCGGCUUAAUUUGACUCAACACGGGGAAACUUACCAGGUCCAGACAUAGUAAGGAUUGACAGAUUGAAAGCUCUUUCUUGAUUCUAUGGGUG